CCCUCUGGCGCGGGACAACAGUCCGAAAGGGCUGCUAAUACCGCAUAAGCUGGUGACCGCCUCGGUGGUUACCAGGAAACGGUGGCCUCUCCUUGGAAGCUAUCGCCGGAGGAUGGACUCGCGUCCCAUCAGCUUGUUGGUGAGGUAAUGGCUCACCAAGGCCCAGACGGGUAGCUGAUCUGAGAGGAUGAUCAGCCACACUGGGACUGAGACACGGCCCGG
RNAcentral lists this ribosomal RNA (222 nucleotides) under uncultured bacterium. RNAcentral's name for it is "partial 16S ribosomal RNA". It matches the Rfam family "Bacterial small subunit ribosomal RNA", at positions 129 to 334 of the family's 1533-position model. The record is from RNAcentral.